Long non-coding RNA from Oxyura jamaicensis (ruddy duck), 587 nucleotides. RefSeq lists it as uncharacterized. Lineage: Eukaryota; Metazoa; Chordata; Aves; Anseriformes; Anatidae. The record is from RefSeq and is a predicted model, not a curated record. The transcript is spliced from 4 exons.
CUCUGGGAGAUGCUAGGAUAAGAUCUACUUCUUCAGAGGGGACCAAAUUGUAGGAGUUGCACAUUAAUUUUUCCUGCUUUUCCUUGUUCAUUUUUAUAUUAACUCUAAAAAAGAAAAGAAACUAUACAGAUAGAAGCUUUUUCUAUGUGCUCCUUACUUAUUCUCAGAAUGUACUUAUGCUCUGAGUGAGAGAAGGUCCUUUGGAGAAAAAUAGCCUGCAAUCGUAAUGAAAGUUGUAUUUGUUAUUGUCCCUAUCCUGCUGAGGAUGCUGUGAUAGACUGUGCUAGAAAUCUUGCUGACAUCAGGAUAAAUGACAUCCAUUGCUUUCCACUGUUUUGCAGACCCCGUCACUUCAUUGAGGAAGACAGACUGAAUGGAUAUCAGAAGUUACAUGUGAUGUCCACGUGAGUACACAAGAAGAAACAAGAUACUUCUUUGAACCAGGGACAUGAGACAAGCUGGAUCUGUGUUGAAACAACAAAAAACCUCCGCUGAAUGGAUACACACUGUCCCAUGCAUGCAGAUUGGAGACCCUGGCCAGACUCAGACUGAUUGGUCACUCAACUUGAAGUGAAACCUUGUAUCAU